GGGAAACGGGAUGAGAGGCCCAGCCCCAGGGCCCGGCAAAAAACACUUGGGGCA
This is a non-coding RNA of Sarcophilus harrisii (Tasmanian devil), 54 nucleotides long. The record is from Rfam. Lineage: Eukaryota; Metazoa; Chordata; Mammalia; Dasyuromorphia; Dasyuridae.